UGGGGAAUUUUGGACAAUGGGGGAAACCCUGAUCCAGCCAUCCCGCGUGUGCGAUGAAGGCCUUCGGGUUGUAAAGCACUUUUGGCAGGAAAGAAACGUCAUGGGUUAAUACCCCGUGAAACUGACGGUACCUGCAGAAUAAGCACCGGCUAACUACGUGCCAGCCGCCGCGGUAAUACGUAGGGUGCAAGCGUUAAUCGGAAUUACUGGGCGUAAAGCGUGCGCAGGCGGUUCGGAAAGAAAGAUGUGAAAUCCCAGAGCUCAACUUUGGAACUGCAUUUUUAACUACCGGGCUAGGGUGUGUCAGAGGGGGGUGGAAUUCCGUGUGUAGCAGUGAAAUGCGUAGAUAUGCGGAGGAACACCGAUGGCGAAGGCAGCCUCCUGGGAUAACACUGACGCUCAUGCAAGAAAGCGUGGGGAGCAAACAGG
This 429-nucleotide ribosomal RNA is filed under the name Acidobacteriota bacterium. RNAcentral's name for it is "Acidobacteria bacterium partial 16S ribosomal RNA". It matches the Rfam family "Bacterial small subunit ribosomal RNA", at positions 355 to 776 of the family's 1533-position model. The record is from RNAcentral. Lineage: Bacteria; Pseudomonadati; Acidobacteriota.